Molecule: long non-coding RNA, 388 nt
Filed under: Elaeis guineensis (African oil palm)
Lineage: Eukaryota; Viridiplantae; Streptophyta; Magnoliopsida; Arecales; Arecaceae
Description: long non-coding RNA (EGUI_LNC008836)
Source: RNAcentral
UAUAUGAAAAAAAUAAAAAAAUUAAUAAAAUUUUAUUUUUAAAAAAUAAUUUGAAAAAAUAAAAAGAAAAUUGCGAGGCCCUCCACUCACUCUUGCUACAUAGCCUUUUUUUUUAUUUUGAAAAAUAAUUUUAAUAAAAUAAGGAAGGAUAGAAAAAAAAAUUUCAAAAUAAUAAUAAAAUUAUUAAAAAAUUUAAAAUAGAAGAUUUUUUUAAUAAAAAAUAGAUUUUUAAAAUAAUGAUGAAAUAUUAUUUUUAAAAAUAAUUUGAAAAACUAAUUAUAAUAAUAAUUAAUUUUAAAAGAUAAGAAAGAAGGAAGGUUUUUAAAAAAUAAUAAAAUUUUAUUUUUAAAAUUGCCUAACCAAAAGAGUGCAGGAGGAGAAGGGAAAA